Molecule: ribosomal RNA, 323 nt
Filed under: Allapsidae sp.
Lineage: Eukaryota; Cercozoa; Glissomonadida; Viridiraptoridae
Description: SSU rRNA
Rfam family: Eukaryotic small subunit ribosomal RNA (bases 56-323)
Source: RNAcentral
GAUUUCUGGUCAGAUGCGCCUGGCCCGUCACGGUUUCGUGAUGUGUGCUGGGACGCGUCGUCCAUCCUUCUAGUGACACUAUGUUGCUCGUAAUGGGGUGAUAUAGCGUUCGCUAGAUCUUUUACUUUGAAAAAAUUAGAGUGUUUAAAGCAGGCGUUUGCUAUGAAUACAUUAGCAUGGAAUAAUAACUUAGGACUUCGGUUCUAUUUUGUUGGUUUCUAGAAUUGAAGUAAUGAUUGAUAGGGAUAGUUGGGGGUGCUAGUAUUCAGUGGCCAGAGGUGAAAUUCUCGGAUUCACUGAAGACUAACUUCUGCGAAAGCAUU